Molecule: unclassified non-coding RNA, 516 nt
Filed under: Hevea brasiliensis (rubber tree)
Lineage: Eukaryota; Viridiplantae; Streptophyta; Magnoliopsida; Malpighiales; Euphorbiaceae
Source: RNAcentral
UGCAAUACCUCCACUUUGGAGCCUUCAUUUUGCAGGGGAAAAGAAAACAAGAGAUGGAUUUGAAGGCAUACAAAAGGACCAUGGCAUAUCGCUGGAAAAUAUUUUUGUGGGAUUUUACAAAGAAGUAUUUGUGGGCCAUUUCCUAUUUGCAUUCUCCAUCAGUGAUAAGAAAGACAAGAAAACAACAAGAGUAGUUGCCCAAUAGCUUUUUUCCAGCAACAAAGUGCAGUGUACAGUGUCGUAAGCCUCUUUGUCAAUUCCUGUGUGUUAGGAAUAAGUUUCUGCAGGAGCCUUAGGCACUUUUGUUAGUCUCAUUGAUCAACAAACCAAAGUGAUCAUCUAUAGUAAAAUACAAAGAAUCCCAUGUGCUUUGAGAAACGUGGGAUGGCAAUGGUUCGAGCAUUUUUGGAUACCCCAUCUGAUUGAAUCCUAUUGAGAUGGGUUUGACUGGUGUAUGACCGGUUUGUGAUGAGUUUAGGUUUAGGAAAUAAUACCAUGUCAAGUUCAAGUUUUAUG